UCUCCGUUGGUGAACCAGCGGAGGGAUCAUUACAGAGUUGCAAAACUCCAACCCCUGUGAAUCUUACCAAAUGUUGCUUCGGCGGCCGAGCCCUGGCGAGGCCGCCGGAGGUCUAAACUCUUACCAUUUUGUACGUCUGAGGAAAAAACAAUAAUCAAAACUUUCAACAACGGAUCUCUUGGUUCUG
This 187-nucleotide unclassified non-coding RNA is filed under the name soil metagenome. RNAcentral describes it as "partial contains small subunit ribosomal RNA, internal transcribed spacer 1, and 5.8S ribosomal RNA". The record is from RNAcentral.